Molecule: long non-coding RNA, 229 nt
Organism: Dioscorea cayenensis subsp. rotundata (Guinea yam)
Lineage: Eukaryota; Viridiplantae; Streptophyta; Magnoliopsida; Dioscoreales; Dioscoreaceae
Exons: 3
Source: RefSeq, a predicted model, not a curated record
CUUUUUUGCGGGUGGUGUCGGUGACAAGGACGGGAGAAGGGUCUCAUCGUCACGGAUUUCAUUUCACUGUUAUUGUUGAGGACUUCCUGAGAAAUACUCGAUUGGUGUAAGAAUUCAAAAAUCUGGUUGUUAAUCAGGUUUUGAGGCCUUGUAUGCCUACUUGGUUUUGGCCUUCUAGGUGUACGCCCGUUUGUCGGCGUCCCUGGUCCAUAGAGCUCGGUUCGGGGCG